UGGUACUUAGUUUAAAAUAAAAUAAAUGA
Molecule: transfer RNA, 29 nt
Filed under: Muntiacus sp. VIE1
Lineage: Eukaryota; Metazoa; Chordata; Mammalia; Artiodactyla; Cervidae
Description: partial tRNA-Arg
Source: RNAcentral